CGGCGUUCUCAGGGCGGGGCGGAAUUCCCCACCGGCGGUAUGCAGCGCGAGCUGCGAGCCCGCGAGCGCCUUCCCGAAAGGGAAGGGUCAGCAGAUCAGGUGCGAGGCCUGAGCCGACGGUCACAGUCCGGAUGAAAGAGAACGCGC
This 147-nucleotide non-coding RNA is filed under the name Hyphomicrobium sp. Its description in RNAcentral is "FMN sequence". It matches the Rfam family "FMN riboswitch aptamer (RFN element)". Rfam says of the family: The RFN element is a highly conserved domain that is found frequently in the 5'-untranslated regions of prokaryotic mRNAs that encode for flavin mononucleotide (FMN) biosynthesis and transport proteins. This element is a metabolite-dependent riboswitch that directly binds FMN in the absence of proteins. In Bacillus subtilis, the riboswitch most likely controls gene expression by causing premature transcription termination within the 5' untranslated region of the ribDEAHT operon and precluding access to the ribosome-binding site of ypaA mRNA. The record is from RNAcentral. Lineage: Bacteria; Pseudomonadati; Pseudomonadota; Alphaproteobacteria; Hyphomicrobiales; Hyphomicrobiaceae.